GUGAGGAAUUUUCCGCAAUGGGCGAAAGCCUGACGGAGCAAUGCCGCGUGAAGGAUGAAGGCCUAUGGGUUGUAAACUUCUUUUCUCAGAAAAGAAUUAUGACGGUAUCUGAGGAAUAAGCAUCGGCUAACUCUGUGCCAGCAGCCGCGGUAAGACAGAGGAUGCAAGCGUUAUCCGGAAUGAUUGGGCGUAAAGCGUCUGUAGGUUGUUUAAAAAGUAUUCUGUCAAAGAUUAGGGCUUAACCCUAGAUAGGCAGAAUAAACUUUUAAGCUAGAGUUUGGUAGAGGCAGAGGGAAUUCCCGGUGGAGCGGAGAAAUGCGUAGAUAUCGGGAGGAACACCAAAGGCGAAGGCACUCUGCUGGGCCAAUACUAACACUGAGAGACGAAAGCGAGGGGAGCAAAUGGGAUUAGAUACCCGUGUAGUCC
Molecule: ribosomal RNA, 426 nt
Filed under: uncultured bacterium
Lineage: Bacteria
Description: partial 16S ribosomal RNA
Rfam family: Bacterial small subunit ribosomal RNA
Source: RNAcentral